This is a long non-coding RNA of Cyprinus carpio (common carp), 1260 nucleotides long. RefSeq lists it as uncharacterized. The record is from RefSeq and is a predicted model, not a curated record. The transcript has 3 exons. NCBI's taxonomy places the organism in Eukaryota, Metazoa, Chordata, Actinopteri, Cypriniformes, Cyprinidae.
UGUGUGUGUGUGUGUGUGUGUGUGUGUGUGUGUGUGUGCUGUAGUACCCCUGGUAGAUGAUGGUUAAGAGCACUAGAAUAACUUGUUUAAUUCUUACAGUAUGUGUAUACACAAACUUGUUUUGACAUGUCUUAGACUGGUUUGUCAACUUUUGAGAACUGGGUCGUGUAUGGGAGGAGCCUAAUCAUUCAGUUUUGUCAUUCAGCAGCGUAUAGAGCAGCAGUCAUUUCAUCGUCCCAUUGUCUGAAUGAACCUCAGGUUGGAGACUCCUUCAAGGACAGCAAACCAUUUCCAGUUUACCAUAAUAUAUCAAGAAAGAAUGGGCAGGCAGGCAAACUCAUGAAAUGUGCUAAAUAUAGUUAAAUCAUGGUCACGAGACAAGGAUUGAAUCACUACUACUGAUUCUGAAUCACCAUGCACAGACAUUUUGGGAGGCAGGGGUAUCCAUCCCUCCAGGACCAGGACUGGACAUUGCUACACUAUUAUCAGGUUAUACCAAUUAAAUAAAAUCAGUACCUAUUAUCAAAAUCUAUUUAAUACACAGUUACAAUUGAAUAAUGUUAUGAGAUUAAUGUUAAAUAUAACAUUUUGAAUAUAGAAAUAUAAAACAAUUUGUGACAGCACGACAUAAAUAGAACGCGGUAAUAAAGAGCAUUGCUUACUAUAGCAUGUUUAAUUUUAUCACACAUCACACUGAUCUCAUACUGCAGAAAACUGACAAUGUGGUAAUAUAUCAUGGCGAGCUCCCCAAGCGCUCAUCAGCAUUGUCAUAAAGGUGGAGAGAAUCCAAUUGUCUGGGAAUAGAAGCCACCUAAGAGCAAUCAGGAAAAGAGGAUUUCCAUUUUCUUUAACACGGAAGUAAGCUUAUGGGCGAGACUUUCAGUUCAUUAACUGCUAUAGGGAAAUAACAAGAAGAAUAACAACGUGCAGUAAACAGUAAAACUGUUACCACUUCAAACCAGUGUGUUCAAAAAUAAAAUAAUACAUUAAAAUAAUAUGGUAAGACACACCUAUUUUCAAUAUCAAGCAGCAAAACAAACUGUUUUGUAGAGUUAAAAUAGCUGGACGUGGUUGAGAUCGGAAGCUAGACCCAUAAAAAGUACAAAUGGCUGCGCCCACUCUUAUGAGAAGAAAAAGGUGGAUAAACACAACAGAAAGAAGUUUUGGGGAGGCUAGAUCUCACAAGACCAGGCAAAUGGUAUCUCUUGUUCUUUUCUCCCGUUGGCUCCAGUGAUUACAAAGGAGUCCAGACCACAAGAU